RNAcentral lists this ribosomal RNA (661 nucleotides) under uncultured bacterium. RNAcentral's name for it is "bacterial SSU rRNA". It matches the Rfam family "Bacterial small subunit ribosomal RNA", at positions 187 to 851 of the family's 1533-position model. The record is from RNAcentral.
CAUGGGGAUAUUUGCUAAAGAUUCAUCGCUGAUAGAUAGGCAUGCGUUCCAUUAGGCAGUUGGCGGGGUAACGGCCCACCAAACCGACGAUGGAUAGGGGUUCUGAGAGGAAGGUCCCCCACAUUGGUACUGAGACACGGACCAAACUCCUACGGGAGGCAGCAGUGAGGAAUAUUGGUCAAUGGGCGUAAGCCUGAACCAGCCAAGUCGCGUGAGGGAUGAAGGUUCUAUGGAUCGUAAACCUCUUUUAUAAGGGAAUAAAGUGUGGGACGUGUCCCGUUUUGUAUGUACCUUAUGAAUAAGGAUCGGCUAACUCCGUGCCAGCAGCCGCGGUAAUACGGAGGAUCCGAGCGUUAUCCGGAUUUAUUGGGUUUAAAGGGUGCGUAGGCGGCCUUUUAAGUCAGCGGUGAAAGUCUGUGGCUCAACCAUAGAAUUGCCGUUGAAACUGGGGGGCUUGAGUAUGUUUGAGGCAGGCGGAAUGCGUGGUGUAGCGGUGAAAUGCAUAGAUAUCACGCAGAACCCCGAUUGCGAAGGCAGCCUGCCAAGCCAUUACUGACGCUGAUGCACGAAAGCGUGGGGAUCAAACAGGAUUAGAUACCCUGGUAGUCCACGCAGUAAACGAAGAUCACUAGCUGUUUGCGAUACACUGUAAGCGGCACAG